UCGUUUAUCGUGAAAUGGCAUAUGAAUUUUAUGGAAAUAAGUCGAUGUUAAAAUAACCUCGUUGUUAAUAUUACUGAAGAAAACGAAUAAUUAAUAUUAUUUUUACAUUAUAUUAUCUAAUAAUUAUUGUAUAUUUUGUACAUAGAGUAUAUACUUAUUUCAUUUUAGAUGCAGAUAGUAUAAAAAAGUGCGUAUGAUAGAGGACCUAUUUUCUACAAAAUUGUGCCACUUCAAAACAGAAUGUCAAGGAAAUGCUGCUAUGUAAUUUUUCAGAUGUAGAUUGUGGCCCAUAAUUAUGUCAAUGUCUUGCAGGCGGUUUUUCCAGCCAAUCUUGCGAAGAAAACUUUUGCGUGACAAUCGCUUGACUAGUUGCGCAUAUUCAUACACACUCAUGCAACUUCAUUAUUCUCAGGGUCGCAUGCAUAUAUUUUGGAGGUUAAGGAGAGAAGACUUAACAAAGUUGACAUGUGAAAUCGAGUACAAAUAAGUAAAGCAUACUUCACUCGUCGGCGAUGAUGGACGUAUUGGAGGCGUUGCACAAUUUACAAUCCUCUUCUCCAAGUAGGGGCGUGUUUCUUCUUAUAAGACAUGCUAAACGAGAAGCUGUCCUCGGUUAGAUUGCAAACAGUCGAGCUGUGAAAUCGCUUCAGGAUGCGUUGGAGCUCAUUGUGCCUUCUGUUGUUAUUUAUCAUCCUAGCAAAAGCUUAUAUGAAGUCUUGCAAGUAUUGGUGCAAGAUGGAUGAUCAUCGUUAUUAUUGUUGCCCAAGUGGAAAAACCGACUUUUGGUCAGAACAUGGCUGGCAUACGUUCUUCUUCCCGUGGUUCUGGUUUGGUGUUGAAGAACCACACGUUGAACAUCCUUGGCAUGAGGUCAUGAAGCCUAAAAAGCACUGUCCACCUUUGAGAGCUGAAUGUCCUAGGACUUAUGAGUGGUACAAGCCGCCUGAAUUUUGCGAAAGCGAUCACGAGUGCAGUGAGUCGGAAAAGUGCUGCUACGAUGUAUGCUUGGACCAUAAAACAUGUAAAGAAGCGGAAUAGAAUUUUUUCGUAAUUUUGUAAUACCUGGUCUUAUACACUUAGUUGACUGUCAGCGAGUAUGACUCAUAAAUUCGCAAAGUUAUGGAGUACUAUGCUGUGAGCUAAACGUAAUAAACAAUGUGAAUAAAAAGGAACACGAUAGAUUGCGUCUCAACAAAUAAAAAAUCAACAAAAUGCGUUUGACCAUUUGCUGAUUUUCGUGGGAUUGCUGGUAAUUGCUUGCGCUUGUGGAUUUAUUCAAGCUUAUUCGUAACUGCUCAAUUACAGAUGCAGCGAGCGAGUUCCUUAAUUAGUGUAAAAGUCACGGCACAUAAUAUUUCGCGACAGUACAUUCGCAAUAAGGUAUAAUUGGCAUAUCAGGUUGCGUCUCGUCGAUUAACAUUCGCACAUGUCCUAUAAAUUCUUGGAAAAAUGUGCCACACAAAGCGAGAUGUUUGGUAUUUUUUCCCAUCCAAAUUAAGGGGAUCAUUUUUAAUGUGGCCCACCGGAAGAAUCCAAUCGAGCUACAAGGACGUCCGAAUCAUCGAAAAACAAGGUCAUUUCGAAUUCCUCGAAUUGUUUAUGAGUUAUGACGCAGUACUAUUCCAAAGUAAUUUAAGAAAUCCAUAUUAUAUAUGCAACAAAAAAAGAUAUAAAUUGAUGUAUUUUCUAUUAUUUAUUCUGAGAUACGUUACGAAAUAAGAAACAGAAUGCAGAUUAAUGAUAAUUCGUCAAUAUAUAUGAUUUUGACAUGAACAUAAUUCGCGGGGUAUUUUGUAAGAAAUUUGAACGCAAUCUCAUGAUCAAUGUGACGUAUACGUCACGUGAUUUAUUUCGCGGUCACGAAUAAUAGUGAAUUACUUCAAGGCGAAGAUGUCGGACGUGAAUUAACGUCGUCCUGUGUUUCGCGCACGUUCUUCCUCCUUCGAAAUGAAUUCUACACGCAAUCAAGUAUUCGUAAUAUCGAAUUCAACAAUGGGCGAUUGUCAGAUAACAAAGGAUGGAUUAUCUGAGGAAUAUCGAGUUACAAUUGGUUACAACUGGCAGGACAUCGAGUUGCAAUGAGUUACAACUGGCAAGACAUCGCUUGACAUAAUUGAUGCGUCGACCGCACACGCGCUCAGCAUUCUUGGUGGGGAAACAGAGACGAGUGCGAACGCACGACUAAGCAAGACGACGACGCCGGCCGGCCGGCGGAAGAAUGGUAGAGAAGGGGAUUUAGCGGACGCGCACCUAUGCCGACACGGAACUCGGAAGAGCAGCGCACUCGGUGGCAUUCGCUCGCGAGCCGCUGUGCCGUGCGGUUGUAUUCUCUUCGUAAGCUGACGGCGCGUGUCAACCAGCCGGCUUUUCGACGUGCUGUCAUCCUCCCCGCGAGAGAGAGCAACUCUUACGCAUGAAUCGCGAGACUGCGUUACGGUUUUUUUUCUCCCUUAUAAACUAGCAGUGAGAGAAAAAAGAGGGUGAGUCUCCGUCGUGAGAGAGAUAAUUCGGACGACAGUCGUCGUUCCGUUAUCGAGGAAACCGGCGUAACGCCACCGCUCGUUGUCGGUCGCGAGCGCGGAACGGUACCUCCUGCACGGUGAAAUUAGCGUGGAAAGUGCCUGCACGCUCCGUUUCGCCUCGCGAAGGCAGAAAGAGAGAGAAAAAGAAAUAAAACAGGAAGCGAAAUAUACUCAGGACAGCUCGCAAGCUCGCUUCCUCUUUCCGGAUUCGCGCGCGCGUUCUUCGCGAUUUGUAUAUCUCGCAAUAUCUUGCUGUGAUAUUUCGCCGAGUUCGUGAAACGCGAUUAUACUCGUCCGUCCGACUAGCCGCAGUCGUCGUUGCCUAGAACUGAAACAGUGAGGGUUAAUAAGUGUGCUGUGACAGCUGCAGAAAUAUUUCCGGAGAAAAUGGAGUCGAUGAGGAUCCUGCUGUUGAUCAUCCUUACGGGCAUCGCCAGCUGUCA
Molecule: non-coding RNA, 2965 nt
Organism: Linepithema humile (Argentine ant)
Lineage: Eukaryota; Metazoa; Arthropoda; Insecta; Hymenoptera; Formicidae
Source: RefSeq, a predicted model, not a curated record